CCUACGGGUGGCAGCAGUGAGGAAUAUUGGUCAAUGGCCGGAAGGCUGAACCAGCCAAGCCGCGUGAAGGACGAAGGUGCCAAGCAUUGUAAACUUCUUUUGUCAAGGGACAAAAUCAGGCUCGAGAGCCUGACCGAAGGUACUUUAAGAAAAAGCAUCGGCUAACUCCGUGCCAGCAGCCGCGGUAAUACGGAGGUUGCGAGCGUUAUCCGGAUUUAUGGGGUUUAAAGGGUGCGUAGGCGGCCCGUUAAUUGAGCGGUAAAAGCCCGGGGCUCAACCCCGGCGAGCCGUUGAAACUGGCUGUCUUGAGAUGUCCAGAGGUAUGCGGAAUGCGCAGUGUAGCGGUGAAAUGCUUAGAUAUCGCGCAGAACUCCGAUUGCGAAGGCAGCAUACCGGCGGCGAUCUGACGCUGAGGCACGAAAGCGUGGGUAUCGAACAGGAUUAGAUACCCGGGUAGUC
RNAcentral lists this ribosomal RNA (459 nucleotides) under uncultured bacterium. Its description in RNAcentral is "partial 16S ribosomal RNA". It matches the Rfam family "Bacterial small subunit ribosomal RNA", at positions 338 to 795 of the family's 1533-position model. The record is from RNAcentral.